UACAGAGGUCUCAAGCGUUGCUCGGAUUCAUUGGGCGUAAAGGGUGUGUAGGUGGCGCGCUAAGUCGGGUGUGAAAUUUCGGAGCUUAACUCCGAAACUGCAUUCGAUACUGGCGUGCUUGAGGACUGGAGAGGAGACUGGAAUUUACGGUGUAGCAGUGAAAUGCGUAGAUAUCGUAAGGAAGACCAGUGGCGAAGGCGGGUCUCUGGACAGUUCCUGACACUGAGACACGAAGGCCAGGGGAGCAAACGGG
Molecule: ribosomal RNA, 253 nt
Filed under: uncultured bacterium
Lineage: Bacteria
Description: partial 16S ribosomal RNA
Rfam family: Bacterial small subunit ribosomal RNA
Source: RNAcentral